Molecule: RNA transcript, 1713 nt
Organism: Ananas comosus (pineapple)
Lineage: Eukaryota; Viridiplantae; Streptophyta; Magnoliopsida; Poales; Bromeliaceae
Gene name: protein TRIGALACTOSYLDIACYLGLYCEROL 4, chloroplastic
Exons: 6
Source: RefSeq, a predicted model, not a curated record
UUGGGGAUUAGAGAGAGAGAGAGUAGAGGAGAGGAGGGGGUGGUCAGUGGUGCUGCAGGCUGCAGGGCGCAGGCUGCAGGCGAUCGAUGAUGGUGGGCCGGCUGCGGUGGGCGACGAGGGAGGGGGGAGGAGGGAGGUGGGAGGCGGACGCGGAGACGGCGGCGACGAUGGAGGGGACGGCGCGCGCCGUGCCGGGGGACCCGCUCCCGCUGGGCCUCUCCCGCGGGCCCCGCGUCACCCGCCCCAAGCAGCUCGACUUCAUGCACCGCUUCAUGUCCCUCCCCCUCCUCCCCUCCUUCUCCCCCCGCUCCGGCCCCCUCCUCCACCGCGCCCACACCUUCCACCUCUCCCACAACUGGUCUGCAACUAUUCUGGAGCAGUUCCAUGUACAGAAAAUUUUAUCAUUCCUGAAAGGAGGUUUGUCAAACCAUGUAGAGGAAAAAUCGCGGCAUGAGAUCAUAAAGAAACACAUGCAUGAUGUACUUUCUCUAGGUUUUGGUACGGAACUACUAAUCACACCGGAUUCAACUAUACUAGUUGAAACAUACGAUGUUUUCAAGGAGAAUCGAGUCAAAGCAAUCUAUCAUCACAAGCUUCCUCAACACAAUUUAACAUUGGAGGCAGCAUGGCCCGGACUAUUUAUUGAUAAGAAAGGAACAUACUGGGAUGUGCCUCUGUCAUUGGCAAUUGAUCUUGCUUCUAUUUCUUCAUGUUCUGGCCUCAGUUAUCAUUUAUGCUUACAGCAUAACAGUGGAUAUCCAAAGCACUUUGGCGGCUGUCAAGCUGAUAAAGUGCCAGCCGCUUUGCUGCCUGGGUUAUGUAUGAAAGCGGCUUUUUCCUUCAAGAAAGAUGUAGAAUUUUGGAGAAAGAAAGAGGGAAAGCUAAAGAUGGUCCAACCUUAUGACCUAUUUCUCUCAGAUCCUCAUGUUUCGGGUUCAGGGACAAUUGGUGCAGUAGCCAGUGCAUCGCUCGGAGAUUGUUCAGCGAGACUAUCUGAGGAAGAAGAAUCAAAUAGAUUGAAUGCGUUCUGGUUAUGUGCUCAAAGAGAUAAAGUUGGUCUCUUUGCUGAUCUCUUUGCUUCUGUCUCCUGCACGGCUCAACAUGGAAAUUUCCAGAGGCUUUUCCUCGAUCUCACCAGGUUAAGUGCCAGAUUCGAUUUCCCUUCGGGCUCACAAUUUUUAAGCGGUGCGACUCGUCUCGCUCAAGAUGUGUACUACUCUCGGCGACCAGAUUUAAGGGCUAUCCAAGCUGUUUGUCCUGACAUGUUGGUUUCUCUUCAGCAACAGAUAGCUGGACCCAUAAGCUUCCGAGUUGACUCCAAAGUAGUACUUGACCUAAAAGAUGGGAACCAUAUCCCCCGCAUGGAUGAGUCGAUUUUUGCGCUCGACUGGGCUCUGAAGGUUCUUGGGUCAGCAAAGGCCACAGCUUGGUACUCCCCCAGACACAAGGAGUUCAUGGUGGAGCUUCGAUUCUUCGAGACCUGAACAAAUUCUUCGCUCGACAUCCCCCUCUGCAUCGAGCUCCUCCAAUCUGUUGUUUGGAACUUCAGUUGCGCCAGGGUUGACUGAAAACCUAACCCAACCUGAACCUGACCUUCGUAUACUUUAGAAUUGUAUUAUAUCGAUGUUUGCUAGAUAUAAUUCAAUUGUCUCUUUGACCUUGUACUCUUCAAAACUAUAUUUGCAUUAUUGUUAUUUUUUAAUUGUUAUCCAA